Molecule: non-coding RNA, 5972 nt
Organism: Phoenix dactylifera (date palm)
Lineage: Eukaryota; Viridiplantae; Streptophyta; Magnoliopsida; Arecales; Arecaceae
Source: RefSeq, a predicted model, not a curated record
AUUGUAUCUAUAAUAAUCCUUUUUUACUUAGCAGUGAUAUCUCUUGAAUUUGUUAGAAUACAUCUACUACUAUUUUUUCUAAACAAACUACUAAAAAAGCAUACAUGAGCUAAGAUGAGGAAUAAAUAUAGUUUUGAUAAUAAUACAUGAGAAACUUCAACAGCUGCAAAGGACUCAUCAUGAUUCAUGUGCCUAUCUUCUAAAAAUAUGACAAAAUUAUACUCUAUCUUGCCUUUAUUAGUUCAAACUUUCUUCUCAAAAAAAUAGUUUUUCCAUUUAAUGUAACCAACCUAAGCCUUAAUAUAAAAUUCAUGCCAUUAGACAAUACACAAAAGAUACUUUUUUCCAUUCCUCUCCUCCUCAAAUACAAAAAAGAAUUAGAGAAAUAGAGAGUUAGAGACUAUUAAGCUCUAACAGUGUACCUGAUUUGAAUCAGGUUAGGACAAGCUAUAGAAUAAGAAAUGUAAAAUUGUUCUAAAAAGUAAAUGGGCUGGAUCGAAUCAGGUCAGAAUUUAGUGAAACCAAAUCUGGUCUGAAAAAUAGAAAGGGUUUAAUUUUAAAUGGUGAUGGCUUUUCCUUCGUAAUUUCCUUACACAAAUGCGGGUGCAUGCCUCUUUCCCCUGCCAUAGAAACAAAGGUGCACUAUCUGGAUCGUCUAUUACGAUCCUACAGCUGAGAUUCCUUUGCACCAACGGUGUGAUUCUCUUCUCCACUCAUAAGGAAACCUCCCCCUUCCGCCUCUUGCAAACCUCCUCUAAACCCCCACCGCUUUCCUCUUCUGCGCCCCCUCCAUUGUAGCUGCGCUGAAUCCAUUGCCAGGGUGAGAGAGGCAGUGACGCUGAAAGCUUUCGGUAAAUUUGAGAACCCUUCAGAAGUUUUAUCUGCAGCAACAUUAAUAUAUUUUUUUUGGUACACAGCAACAUUAAUAUUUGAUGGUAAGCCUAGCAAGGGUCUCUGCAAGUUUCUUCGUGCUCAUUGUGAAGGUGAAACAUUACGUGUUGCCGAUGCCAAACUUGGAAAUGCAAUUGAAGAAAAAUUGAAAGUAGACUGCCUUCACAACAAUGCUGUCAUUGGAGCUAAUGAAGGGACUAGGGAUCCAGCUUACAGAACUCAUAUGUGGGUUGUCUGUGCAAGAUUUAGCUGCAACGAGCUUGUGUUUGUCAUGCAGUGUAUCUAGGUACAAGCUGAAGUUUAGCGUGGAUAAGGUGAACUUUUUUAGCAUCUCCCCUUCCUUCCUUAUAGCAACAUCACUCCAACCAUUAACCUUUUUGGUCGCCUUGGUAUUUGCAUCUUCUGUCUUCAUUUUACAAACUUUUACAACAAUUCUUUGAGAACAUACAUUAUCUAUUCUUCUACAUGAGUAACACUUGAACCAUAAUCUUUCAGAGAAACAAAUCUAGAGCUUUGAAAAAUCACUUUAUUUUUAUGCGAUAUGUUUGUGUUUUUUAUGUUUCAUUGAGAUGAUUAAAGUACUGUUAGCAUCAUAAAAUGGUUAUUAGCAUCAUAGAAUGGCUAAAAAUUUAUUUCAUUCUGCUGGUGGACACGAUGAUUCCUCUUGAUAGCGACAUGGGUUUGAGAGGAAAACCAUUCUUUGGAGAAUCCAAUUGUCAGUAAUGCUUCGAGAAGUGCUAUUAGGACUUGACUCCAUCCUUUGAUGAGUUAAGUUGAGAGGAGGCAUAAUUCGGAGGUGGGGUCACCAAAGUCCUUAUUGGAGAGUGGUCGAGAUGAGAGGAAGAGAAGUGGUUGACAAGCAAUUUCUCAAGGUAAUGUCUUGGUGAGAGGAGUGGCUUGGAGGCAGGAAUAAGAGGAGGAUGAUUUGGGUUUGAAGAUAAGCUAGAAAGGGGCUUGGUGAAUUGGGGUUUGGAGGUUCUUAUAUGAGAUGGGUUUUAUGGGUUGGGCCAGAUCAAGUUGGGUCAAGUUUGGUAGAAAUAGGAGUGACCCAGAUUAGACCUAUGUAGCAUACCAACUGGGUCAAGUUGGGCUGGUUAGGGAUUUAAACUCAGAUGUGACACAAUUUUCAGGUUGGUAUGGUUUUCAUCCAGAUCUGACUGACUGGUCUUCAGAAACGUGUUGGGCUAAGUCUAAUUGUGUCCAACCUAACGCAACCUGUUUGCAGCCUAGUUCAACCUUUCUGUACAUACUUAUUGUUUCAAGUUUUUGGACAUGUUUUAUUCCUUACUUUUACGAACUUCUUCCAUAUCUAAUAAUUUUUCCUUCUAAUUUUGGUACCCUGACCUAUGGUGUAGUUUUGAAGAUCAUUUCUUUUUCAAGUUGUAUGCUUAUGUCUCAGUAAUCAUUUUAUACUGGAUGUUUUUCCCACAUUAAGGAAUCGGUCUUCGUAAUCUCGUACUUAUUAUUGUUUAACAUCUAGAAAUGUGCCUAGUAACAGUGCAAAUUUUUAGCAUUCAAAGUCAUGGUCCCACUAAAAUCCCUGCUUAACUUUUGUUAUUUAUCCAUCUGUUUUGUAGCCACAGAUUUUUUUCCUUUCUUUCUCUCCAGCAUUUUUUUUUUUUUUCGAGUCUUCAGUCUUCUUUCAUGUAGGCCACUAUUUGAAACCAGAUGAUUUUUAUCAUAGACCAUGUAUAUGACCUUAGCUUUUUCUUACCACAUUAUUUUUACUGUACAACACCUGCUUAAGACUCCAAGAACAUUCAUUCUGCUUUCUGAUACGAUCUACCAUCUGACAUGUCAAUAUUCCUUAUAGUUUUUUUAGUUUUGUACUUUGGCAAUGUAACUUCUAGAAAUUAGUUUUUCCUGACUGUCUUAAUAAUAUAAUCUUGUAAUUCUUCCCUCAUGCUCCAGUUGCUUGUACUUCCAUGGUUGGCAGUCUUCUAAUAUGCUGGCAUUGGUUGCUAUAAGAAUACAGUCAGCAAGCAUCCUAAUUUUCUUGUGAGCACAUUCACAUUGUUUGCCUCAGAUACGCCAACUCAUUGGCAUUUAGCCUAUAUCCUUGAUACUUACAGGUCUUAUCUUCACAUCUUUUUCAAUAGUACAUCUAACUAAUUUCUAAUUUUUAGUCACUAAAAUAGCUUUUCCGGAUAUUUUAUUUUGCAUAUUAGCAAGCUUAGUGAUUGUUAAUUGUCAUAUUCACUUCUUUCGAUUUGCUUCUGUGAGCAUUAAUUUUUAACUUUCCAUGAUGCUGUAUCUCUUUUCUUUUAUUAAAGCACUGACGUCCAAUGAGCUCAAAUAAUUUUCUUCAACAGGACUUACUUUUUUACCCACCCUUAUUGUUUGAUGUCUGAAUGCUCUCUUGCUUGUUACCUAAAUCAACAUCUUCUCUGUCAUGUCUAAAGUUCGCCUCUAGCAACUCUUGCACAUUUCUUGUCGCUAUUUGGUUAUUGUGUAGCAUUUGGUUGCAAUUGAGUUUGGCGCCUUGUUGUGGGUUGUGCUGCAGCUUGCAUUAGCUAACUUGAAAUUUAUUGGAGCUUAAGAGUGACUCACAUUUAUAAAGAGGGCAAGCAGCUUGUGAAUUGGUUGGCUAACUAGGACAAAAAUGAGCAAACUGAGUUGCUUAUGGAAUGCUGACUUCCUGGGGAGUUGAUCAGUCUGCUCACAAUGGAUUGUAGUCUUUUGUGUUGUACAGAAUCUAUGAUCGUAUGUUAUUUGUGAUGGUACUUAUGGGGGGACAAGGUAGGUACAUCAGGUUGGGUGUUCCAAUUUGCGGUCAUGUUCUUCCAUUAGGAAUUCUGAGAAUGGGAUUGGCUGCGAUACUUUGCUGCAUUUGUAUCAUUCUUUAUGGCCUCUGCCCUCAAGUAUGUGCACCCACAGAUACCCACAUGACCACACCUGCACAAGCACAGACAUGCACACACCACCUAUACUGUGCCCUUUAAAACUGUUGAAACUUAUAAUUCUAGUGCUUCAUUAGCUGUUACCUGUACAAAACUAAAUACAUAUUUGUAUUUGUGUGCGUAUGUGCAUCAUUGCAUAUAUACGUAUGUAUGUCUAGAGAGUGACUUUAUAUCUCAAUCUUCCUUUUUUCUUUGAGAAACCUUAGACAUAUGACCAAUUUCAUAUGACUGUUUAGAGCUCUGAAGACACAGCAUGCUACACCAACAUAUGGGCUUAUCUUCAAUGCAUUCUUAAUUGGUCAGGCAGCCCUUAAACUCAAGGGGAAGUUUUCUCGUUCUCUUGCUGCGAAAACUGCAUUGGCUAUUUGAUAUGAUGCCCUUGGUGAUAGUGAGGACAACACUAUGAGACUGGAAAAUCAAGCUAAGGCAGUGUAGGCAAGAGACUACUGCUACAUUAUCCUAUGCAACAUAUUGUCCUAAAAUUGGAUUCUUGUAUUUGUGAAUAGAUUGAAACCUGUUUAAGAGUUCUCGAGGGUAGAGAAUUGGGCCAUUUUGCUGGCUCAACAGAAGGCAAGCCCAAGAUUGAAUUCUAUGACAGAGACUGAAAGAAGGGUGCAGGGGCUCUGAUUACUCCAGCGAAGGGAUGGGUUUCGUAGUCUCACUUGAUUUAUUCUUAUUUACGACAGUUCUAUUAAAUUCUCAAAGUCAAAUUCGUGUGCUCUCAUUUGCCAUGGUGUUUUUUGGUCCUUAGAUUUUCUGCCACGUUGGUGAAAGCUCUUGCACAGAAUAUAGUAUACCUAUAUGCACAUACAUACAUGCCAUAUAUUUCAUAUAUGUAUACAAUAUGUAUAUACAAAUUCUAUGUAUGUAUGUAUGUAUAUAUAUAUGUGUGUGUGUGUGUGUGUGUGUGGUAUGUAUGUAUGUAUGUAUGUUUGUAUAUAUCACAGGUAUAGAGAUAUAGAGAUAGUUCUCAUGUUUAAGUAUUUGUAUUCUACAACCUCAAGCUUUAAAUUACGUGCAAACCCCUCAACUUUUACAAUUUUUAACCGAUAAUAUGUGAAAUUUAUGAGUUAAAUAUCCCAUAUUUUCGAGUUCAACAAUGAUAGAAGUACUUUUUAUGUGUGGCAUCCUAAACUUGAUUUCAUUUUACUUGACUUUGUGCAUCGAAAAACCAGUAUAAAAAAGAAAUUGCAUUUAUAAAUAAACCUCUUACGUUUUUCACUUUUAUGCUUGCACGUAAGGGAUUUAUUUGAUCUCUGUCUUUUGACCAUAAGCAUGCGGCAUUUGCUGCAACUCUUUUAACUACUCUGAAACCAAAAGCCAGUCGCUUCCUCUAAUCAUGGCCUGUCCUCACUGGUGCUUUUACUUUCUCAGUAGAACUUCAGCUUGGGUUUUGCCAAUUUUCUUCCAUCAAAAAAAAAAUAAAAAAAAAUUGCUUUAGUUGUGUCACUUUGCAUUAGUAGACUUUUAACCCCUCAGCUGAUCUAGUGCUUGGGCAAAGCACUGCACCAGCUGCUGAGAAGUUGGCCGAUGAACAGGAGGGGGCACAGCCUAGAAAGAGGAAAGCAUGAGGAAAUAGGUAGCUAAAGAAGCUACCUUGAAAGAAGGGGGUGAUGAUGAAGGGGAGAAAGGGAAGAAGAAGAAAAAGAAGUCCCAUAUAGAGAGCACCUGAUUGCAAAAUGAUGAUCAGAAUGCUCCAGCUGUGGCAGAAGAAGAGCAGGAGAAAAAGUUAAAGAAGUAAAAGAAAGAUGAAGCUCCAAGCCCUAAUGAGUUAGAGAAUCAAGAUCAGCCUGUCAUGCCAAGCAGAAGUGGAGCUCGGCACAAAAGAAAAGAAGAAAAAGAAGAGAGAGCAAACUGAAGCAGAGGAUGAGGACAGCAACAACACAAAGGACCAAGAAGAAGCAGAAACAAGAAAGAAGAAAAAAGAAAAAGAAGAAGAAAGACGAAGGCUGAGUAAUGGCAUGUAUGGGAGAGAAUAAUGAGUUCUGCUUGGUGCAGGUGAAUGGAAUCUGCAAGUUUGAAUUAGUUCAUUUAGGUUUCAACACAGAGAGAUCUGUAAAAAAUUACCUAUUGUUGUUAUGGUGCUACGGAUCCAUGACGUGUUUCUGUUUUUCCUUUGAAUUAUUUAUCUGUCCGGCUAUGAUGAUAUGCAAGAACAGCUCCCUUCGAUGUUGAUGCUAA